GCACAGCCCUAAACUCUGAUAAAAACCUACAUUUAUUAUCCGCCAGGGUACUACGAGCUCUAGCUUAAAAUCCAAAGGACUUGGCGGUGCUUUAGACCCACCUAGAGGAGCCUGUUCUAGAACCGACAACCCCCGUUAAACCUCACCCUCCCUUGUUUAUUACCCGCCUAUAUACCGCCGUCGUCAGCUUACCCCAUGAAGGACUUAUAGUAAGCAAGACCAGUAAAACUCAAAACGCCAGGUCGAGGUGUAGCGCAUGAGAGGGGAAGAAAUGGGCUACAUUCCCUGACUUAGGGUAUACGAAAAAUACAAUGAAAAAUGUGUUAGAAGGAGGAUUUAGCAGUAAGAAGAAAACAGAGUGUUCUACUGAAACUGGCCCUGAAGCGCGC
This 389-nucleotide ribosomal RNA is filed under the name Cololabis saira (Pacific saury). RNAcentral's name for it is "partial 12S ribosomal RNA". It matches the Rfam family "Bacterial small subunit ribosomal RNA", at positions 794 to 1384 of the family's 1533-position model. The record is from RNAcentral. Lineage: Eukaryota; Metazoa; Chordata; Actinopteri; Beloniformes; Belonidae.